Molecule: ribosomal RNA, 397 nt
Filed under: uncultured bacterium
Lineage: Bacteria
Description: bacterial SSU rRNA
Rfam family: Bacterial small subunit ribosomal RNA
Source: RNAcentral
GGAAUUUUGCGCAAUGGGCGAAAGCCUGACGCAGCAACGCCGCGUGAGGGAUGAAGGCCUUCGGGUUGUAAACCUCUUUUCUCAGGGACGAUGAUGACGGUACCUGAGGAAUAAGCCACGGCUAACUACGUGCCAGCAGCCGCGGUAAUACGUAGGUGGCAAGCGUUGUCUGGAUUUACUGGGCGUAAAGAGCGCGCAGGCGGUCAAUCAAGUCGAGUGUGAAAGCCCCCGGCUCAACUGGGGAGGGUCACUUGAUACUGUUUGACUCGAAGGCGGGAGAGGGAAGUGGAAUUCCCGGUGUAGUGGUGAAAUGCGUAGAUAUCGGGAGGAACACCAGUGGCGAAGGCGACUUCCUGGCCCGUUCUUGACGCUGAGGCGCGAAAGCUAGGGGAGCAAA